Molecule: ribosomal RNA, 442 nt
Filed under: uncultured bacterium
Lineage: Bacteria
Description: partial 16S ribosomal RNA
Rfam family: Bacterial small subunit ribosomal RNA
Source: RNAcentral
CCUACGGGAGGCAGCAGUGGGGAAUAUUGGGCAAUGGGCGCAAGCCUGACCCAGCAACGCCGCGUGAAGGAAGAAGGCUUUCGGGUUGUAAACUUCUUUUAAGAGGGAAGAGCAGAAGACGGUACCUCUUGAAUAAGCCACGGCUAACUACGUGCCAGCAGCCGCGGUAAAACGUAGGUGGCAAGCGUUGUCCGGAUUUACUGGGUGUAAAGGGCGUGCAGCCGGGAAGACAAGUCAGAUGUGAAAUCCCGCGGCUCAACCGCGGAACUGCAUUUGAAACUGUUUUUCUUGAGUACCGGAGAGGUCAUCGGAAUUCCUUGUGUAGCGGUGAAAUGCGUAGAUAGAAGGAAGAACACCAGUGGCGAAGGCGGAUGGCUGGACGGCAACUGACGGUGAGGCGCGAAAGCGUGGGGAGCAAACAGGAUUAGAUACCCGUGUAGUC